This 1097-nucleotide long non-coding RNA is filed under the name Papio anubis (olive baboon). RNAcentral's name for it is "lncRNA (ENSPANG00000038688.1)". Lineage: Eukaryota; Metazoa; Chordata; Mammalia; Primates; Cercopithecidae. The record is from RNAcentral.
UGAGAGUAUUGUGAAGUGCAAGUUCAUCAUAUUCCCAGAAGGAAGAGGAGAAGCCUGCUGACAGCCACAGGGGGAAAGGCAUUCCACCAGUAAGGGCAGCACAGGGAGGGAGGCAAAUUCAGCGGGGCCGGGGACCCAUGCCCAGGUUGGUGAGAUGCUAAGGUGUGUGGAUGUGUUUUGGGUAACCUGAUGCUUCUCACUACAGCACCGUUAUUCGAAUGCCUGUCUAUGGGGCACUAGGUACUGAGAGCAGAUGCACAAGACGAUAGACCUCAUACAGGGGGAGGAAAAGUAGGGCCCCACAUCCCAAUGCACUUUCAUCUGGGGGCUCCUUGAGGGUCAGAGCUGGCCCUUAUAUGUCCUUUUGUCUCUGGCCCUGUUGCGUCUGUGUAGGUUCUCAGGACUUGACCUACAGCUGAUGGAACCUGAGGGAGCCCUGUGGGUGCUGAAGGCAUGCCGUAGGGACAGGAGGGCUGGCUCUAAAGACUUGUCCCCACCCAACGAUGCGUUCAACUAAGUAAGAGUGUACUCCUAUUUAUUAAAAGGAAAGUUAACUGUGAAGCAGCCUAAGGCAGGUCCUUCGGGUGUUCCAGAAGACGUCACUGCUAUCAAAGUCUUCUGCAAUGGGAUUGCAGCUCCAUGCCUGUUAUUGCCCCUCAAGAACUUCCAGUGGGACAAGAUGUGGAGGUGGAAGACGGGGAUAUUGAUGAUCCUGACCCUGUGUAGGCCUAGGCUAAUGUGUGUGUCUGUGUCUUAGUUUUUAACAAAAAAGUUUAAAAAGUAAAAAUAAAAUAAAAUAAGAAUAGAAAAAAGCUUAUAGAAUAAGGCUAUAAAGAAAAUAUUUUUGUAUAGCUGUAUGAUGUGUUUGUGUUUUAAGCUAAGCGUUAUGACAAAAGAGUCAAAAAAUUAAAAAGUUUAUAAGGUAAAAAAGCUUACAGUAAGCUAAGGUGAGUUUAUCAUUAAUGAAAGAAUUCUUUUAAAUAAAUUAAGUGUGACUUAAUUGUGCAGUGUUUAUAGAGUCUAAAAUAGUCUACAGUCAUGUCCCAGGCCUUCACAUUCACUCACCGCUCACUCACUGACUCACCCAGAGCAAUUUC